ACAUGUUCAAACUUGCACUCGUUUUCAUAACUUUUGUCCUGUGCAAUAAGCCACUUUCCUUCCAAAGAGCACAAACUUUAAAAUCAUAAACAUACAUGAGUGUAUAUCUCGAUCAAUUUUUAGUUUUCCUUUUAUGAAGAGCGCAUUGUGUCUGAACUAAACCAAUAAUCAGCAAAUCUACUCCAGAAACAUAAUAAUGCUAAAAGAGAUUGGCGAGAAG
This 220-nucleotide long non-coding RNA is filed under the name Phoenix dactylifera (date palm). RNAcentral's name for it is "long non-coding RNA (PDAC_LNC005653)". The record is from RNAcentral. Lineage: Eukaryota; Viridiplantae; Streptophyta; Magnoliopsida; Arecales; Arecaceae.